GUCUCUUUGUUAUUUAUAAAUAAAGAGUCGGGCCUGCUCGGUGAAUAUGUAUAUAUUUUAACAGCUGCGGUAUUUUAACUGUACUAAGGUAGCAUAAUAAUUUGCCUUAUAAUUUGAGGCUAGAAUGAAUGGUUUGACGAAGGUUAAUCUGUCUCUACUCUAUUUUUUAGAAUUUAAUUUUUAUAGUGAAAAAGCUUGUAUUUUUUAAAGGGACGAGAAGACCCUAUUGAGCUUAUAAUUUUGUUAUUAUUUUGUAAUUAUUAUAUAAAUAAUAUAUAAAUUUUAAUUGGGGUGAUUGAGGAAUAAAUAUUAAAAUAGAAGUAACUUCCUUAAAUUGAAUAUUGUUGGAUAAAGUAACCAAUAUUUUAUUGCUUAUAAUAUAGUUACCAUAGGGAUAACAGCGUAAUUUAUUUAGAGAGUUCUUAUUGAAAAAUAAGAUUGCGACCUCGAUGUUGGAUUAAAGUAACCAUAAGGUGUAGAAGCUUUAAUAAGGUAAAUCUGUUCGAUUUUUAAAACUUUACA
RNAcentral lists this ribosomal RNA (522 nucleotides) under Neoteuthis thielei. Its description in RNAcentral is "partial 16S ribosomal RNA". It matches the Rfam family "Bacterial large subunit ribosomal RNA", at positions 1816 to 2600 of the family's 2925-position model. Lineage: Eukaryota; Metazoa; Mollusca; Cephalopoda; Oegopsida; Neoteuthidae. The record is from RNAcentral.